AGAGGUUCACGUAAACAAGCCCGCAUGUUGAUUAUGCCGAUUACAUCGCCUUCGUCUCCAGCCGAACCAUCAGGACCACCAUCGCUGACUACAGGUAAAUGUCGAAAUUUGUGUUCAAUCAUUAAUAGCAAAGCGUCAUCAAAACGUGUAUCACUGGUAAUACACAAAGGACUUGUACUCAUUAUAUCGGCGAUCAAUGUCUGCCUAGCAUUCAGACCUGCACCGACACAUCGGGUUGCUAUAUCCGUAGCUGUUACAAUUCCUGCAAGUUGCUCAUCGUCGUCCACAACGAGUACGCAAUUUUGGCGUUUGGCUGCCAUCAAUUGCGCUGUUUCAGUAACCAGACUUUGCAUGUGAACCGUCAAUGCUGGAUCUAAGGCAGCACUAUCUACCGUUCCAGGCUCUCCAUUUCUUCUUAUCUUUCUAACUGGAGACUCAAAAUUUCCUGACUUUUUACCCAAUUCAGAUAUGA
This is a non-coding RNA of Schizosaccharomyces pombe (fission yeast), 472 nucleotides long. Lineage: Eukaryota; Fungi; Ascomycota; Schizosaccharomycetes; Schizosaccharomycetales; Schizosaccharomycetaceae. The record is from the annotation of a GenBank genome assembly.